Molecule: long non-coding RNA, 1219 nt
Filed under: Anas platyrhynchos platyrhynchos (common mallard)
Lineage: Eukaryota; Metazoa; Chordata; Aves; Anseriformes; Anatidae
Description: lncRNA (ENSAPLG00000021353.1)
Source: RNAcentral
AUGUUGCUGGUAGAAAUUAAAUGUUGUGGCCAAAGGUUUGUUUCUCUUUUGGACUGUUUGCUCAGGCAUAAUUGUUCAGGUACAAACAAUCAAUCAAUCUUCAAGUGGAAAGAAAGGGUCAGAGUGUCCAUUUCAUCGCACCAGACCGCUACGUUACUCAUAUGCCAGCUUAAAUUGUCCACAGGAGGGAAGGAUGUCAAAACGUCAUGCCUGCCGUAAGUCUCAGUGCUUUCUAAUCCUCUCCUCAUUGUCCUUAAAGUAAUGGUAAGUUAACUUGAUUUAAAUACUUUUACAAUUAUGUCAUUAAGUAAUUUGGACUGUCAACAGAAGUGUUAUGGUUGCGCCUGCAUCUGAUAAAGAUGGGGGGGGAGGAGGGGAGAAGAUGUGCACAGCUUGUUCUGAUUCCUAAUCACGGUUAAACAUCUUGAUGCUGUCCUAUUGAGUAGCAGGGGUAAAUUCCAAUAUCUCAGUAUAACAGAUGAUCAUCCGUCGAGUCCAAAGUUUGGGGGUGUCGUUAAAAAGACCUCGGCAUUGCAGUGCUGUGUUAUAAUUGUGGAGAAAUGGUUGUGCUAUAACAUUAAGAAACUAUUCUUAGGUGGCAAGGGAAGCGGUAUGUUCAUGUAGGAUAGGGUAUUAGCAGCAUCCUUGAGUUUCCAAACAAUGUUUUGUUUGUCAGAGACUUGGUCCGUUCAAUAUGGCAGUAAUCCCCUAUGACAACUGAAUUCUGUUGAAGUUCUCGUAAGCCAGAGUAGAAGGUGAAGACCAAAAUGCACUCUGGAAUGGACACCAGACACGCAUCCCUCUCAGAUCAGCCUACUGACGGCAAAUGGGUGAUGGGAUUCAGAGCGCAGGUAUCUCAGCUACUGUCGAGAUGUGGUCUGCUGAGAUAAGUAGUCAGUCAAGCUGUUGCCUUAAAAGAAAUUUCAGAUCCAUAUCUUAAGCCUUGCUCAGAUGGAAGCAGCCAGAGUGGUGCAUUUUCAGAAUUGCAUGCUAUUUUUUGACUAAAAGUCUUGAUUUUACAGGUAAACCUUACAGUUUGCUUCUCACUGUCUGCCUUGCGAUUAAAACGUGUGUCUCAAAUGUCUAUGCAAUACUUAAAGCAAAUGAAAAAAAGAAAAUCAAGUUGGUUGAUUUUGUAGAAUUAAGUUACUUUUGGUCAACUACUCGAAAUUCUUUGGCUCUUGCCAACAUUUUCAUGUGCAUUGGUUAUGGCUCCUCC